RNAcentral lists this small RNA (527 nucleotides) under Pongo abelii (Sumatran orangutan). Its description in RNAcentral is "processed transcript". The record is from RNAcentral. Lineage: Eukaryota; Metazoa; Chordata; Mammalia; Primates; Hominidae.
GUCUCACUUUAUCUCUGCACUGACAGUUGUGUUCGUAAACUCCAAAUCCCUGUCUUCGCUUAAGAUAGAUGAUACUCCAGUAGAUGAUCCAUCUCUCAAAGUACUAGUGGCCAACAAUAGUGAUACACUCAAGCUGUUGAAAAUGAGCAGCUGUCCUCAUGUCUCUCCAGCAGCUAUCUCUGACCGCCGGAGGCUGUGUCUUCUCUGUCAAAGGCUGGAAUCGACCUCCCAGGUGUGCGGGCUCUGUCCCCGACUUAGGACCGGCGUCCUACCUCCAGGCUGAAGACUGGACAAAAGCGGUGACAAUCUUCCCGGUCUAACCAGGACUGCAGCAGACGGGGAUUCCAGGGAUGCGGGACUUUUGAGGGCAAAACUGGGAAGUCCCAAUAAGGACUUCGGAUCAGGUUCUGAUCAGGUUCAAAGCAGAGCGAGUUGGUCGCCCAGUAAAUUGUACCAAAUGUUCCGCAGUAAUAGCUAACGACAGUGCAUGAUAUAAAUAAAUGCGAUAGACAGUGUUUUUAAACUAC